CUACUUAUCAUGGGACAUUCCACCACCUUAAUCAGAAGGCCACCACACCAUGCAAGGACUACCUCAGCGAUGUUGGAUUUAAAUGGAGUAAGUUUGGUUUUAUAAGUUAGUUUGACUUGAUUUAAAUUACUUCGAGUUUGUUUUUGGUAAAUUCCGAUCAAAUUCAAGCUAUACUGUAUGACUCAAUUGAAAAGAACUAAACUUGAAUUAAAUGAAGUUUGGUUUGAUUUGACUCGGACGACAACAAUCAAUCCGGUUUCAUUCAAGCUGGAUCAUGAUCAUGGCUUGCAUCAAGGCCGUUCAAGUUGCUAAAAACGUUGUCCUUUCAAAUCAGAAGAUAUAAACCCCCGUUUCCAUCCCAGAAUAUUUUCUCUCUUACUAACACAAAAUCUCAGCUUCGUUCAUUUAUCGCAUUCGCUCUCUGGUCUCCAUUGCGAUUUCUUGAUUUCACAUCUUCAUUUUGAGACUGAAAACAAGCAAGCACACAUAAAUCCACCGCCAUCUCUCUCCAGUUCGCAGGUCGUUGCAGUCGAAGAAAAUUUCAUCUCGGCCAGCGGCGAUUCCGAUUACACAUCUCUGUCUUGCUGUCGUCGCCUGGUUCACCAUAUAUUUUCUAGUUUUCAUCUUCAGCGCUAUGGUUAAUUGUUUUGUAGUGAGCGAGAGUAGAAGAACUUUGUGGAGACAAUGCACUUUCUGGGUUUGAUACGAGUUUGGCAAAGAAAUUUGUUAAAAUGUGAUAUAUUCCAAAGCAAGAUCCUUGUAACAAUGAAUUCAUUGUUAUUGACUGUUGCAGGAGAAACUACAGAAACAGGGCAGUGUUCCAUUCAUUAUUCAACUCAUGCAGCAGCUGAAGAUACCAAUGAUAAGGGGAUUGGAAAAAUGACUUUGGCAAAAACCUUAGCCUUUCUUGUUGACGAAUCUUCUAAUUCUGAUGAGAAAAGACCCAAGAGUCGAAUGGAGUUCAAGAGGUCUCUUGAACUCCGCAUAAAGAAAAGAGUGAAGGAGCAAUACAUGGACGGGAAGUUUCAAGAUCUAAUGGAAAAAGUUAUUGCCAAUCCAAAAACCCUUCGAGAUUCUUACGACUGUGUUAGACUCAACUCAAAUGUUGAUAUUGGUGUAAAUGAUGGCUGUGUAUCUUUUGAAUCUUUGGCAAAAGAGCUCUAUAGUCGACAAUUUGAUGUCAAAGCUAAUACCUUCUCCAUCUCGACAAAAGGAUCAAUCAAAGAAGUUCUUAUUCUUCCAAAUCUAAAGUUAAAAAUAGUUCAAGAAGCAAUCAGGAUAGUUUUGGAGCUUGUUUACAGGCCCUUCUUUUCUAAAAUUUCACAUGGUUGUCGUAGUGGGAGGGGACACUACUCAGCAUUGAAGUACAUCAGAAAAGAGAUUUCCAGUCCUGAUUGGUGGUUUACAUUGCACUUAAAUAAAAAAGCAGAUCCUUGUGUCCUUGCCAAGCUCAUCUCUGUAAUGGAGGACAAGAUAGAAGAUCCUGGCUUAUAUGAUAUCAUUAGGAGCAUGUUUGAUGCUCAAGUACUCAAUUUAGAGUUUGGUGGUUUCCCAAAAGGCCAAGGUCUUCCUCAAGAAGGAGUAUUGUCCUCUAUACUAAUGAAUAUAUAUCUUGACUGCUUUGACAUUGAAUUUUAUAGGUUGUCAAUGAAAUAUGAAGCUCUCCAGCCAAGUUCUCAUAUAGAUGGAGAUGGAGAUGGAGAUGCAUCCCAUUCCAAGCUUCGGACUUGGUUCAGGAGACAACUAAAAGAGAAUGCUGUUAAUGAAGUGGUUGAGGAAAAUAAUUGCACUAGAGUUCAUGCUUGCCGCUUCAUGGAUGAGAUGUUUUUUGCUGUUUCUGGUUCAAAAGAAAUUGCUGUGGCUUUCAAGUCUGACAUUGUAAAUUACUUAAAGAGUUGUUUGCACUUGAACGUUGAUAAUCAAACAGAUAUAUUAUCCUGUCAGGGGCCUAAUGGGAUUUGCUUUUUGGGCACCUUGAUUAGAAGAAGUGUAAAAAAUAGGCCAGCUGUAAAGGCUGGUCACAAGUUAAAGGAAAAGGUCAAGCUAUUUGCUUUACAGAAACAAGAGGCUUGGGAUGCUGGGACUGUUAGAAUUGGGAAGAAAUGGUUAGCUCAUGGAUUAGAGAAGGUAAAAGAGUCAGAGAUCAAGCAUUUAGCUGAUACUAGCUCUACUUUGAGCCAAAUUUCUGGCUUUCGUAAAGUUGGGAUGCAAACGGACCACUGGUACAAGCUUUUAUUAAAAGUUUGGAUGCAAGAUGUUAAAGCCAAAGCAGCAGAAAGUGAGGAAUUGCUUUUAUCCAAGUAUGUUGCAGAACCAGCCCUUCCCCAAGAACUAAGAGAAUCCUUUUAUGAAUUUCAAAAGUGUGCAGAAAAGUAUGUUUCUUUGGAGACUGCUGCUACUCUUGCUCUUUUGCCAAAUUUAUGUUCUUCCACCAAAUUGGUCACCAUCACAGAAAUUGUAGCUCCUGUCAAUGCUAUAAAGAAACGUCUUUUAAGGUAUGGAUUGGUUACACCUAAAGGAUACCCCCAUUCAACUUCUCUGCUCAUCUUGCAGGAUAAGUGUCAAAUCAUUGACUGGUUUUCAGGAUUAGUUCACCGUUGGCUUAGGUGGUACAGGGAGUGUGAUAAUUUUGGUGAGAUAAAGCUCAUGAUUUCCAAUGAAGUCAAGAAAUCUUGCAUUCGCACUCUAGCAGCAAAGUAUCGAAUUCAUGAAAAUGAAAUGGAGAAUCGGCUGGAUUCAGAACUGAUUAGAUUUUCCUGUAUUGAAAAGAUUGAUCAUGAAAUGGCGAAUGGGACAUCAGAUUCACAAGCUUUUGAUAAUGAUGAUGCAUUGAACCAUGGAAUUUCUAACAGUGGGUUGUGUUUAUUAUCUUUAGCUAGAGUAGUGAGCCAGGCACGGCCUUGCAAUUGUUUCAUUUUUGGCUGCUCUGCUGCAGCACCGUGUGUUUAUACUCUUCAUGUUAUGGAAAGACACAAAUUUCCAGGAUGGAAGACAGGGUUUUCAGGUUGUAUUCAUCCCAGUUUGAAUAAAAGGCGGGUUGGGCUGUGUAAGCAACAUUUACAGGAUUUAUAUCUUGGCCGUGUUUCACUUCAAUCAAUUGAUUUUGGUGCUUGGAAAUUAAGGUUCAAGUAGUAGAGAAUAUCAUUGGAGCAGCAGGAUACCUGCCUUGUUUAGCAAGUCAAGGAUGUCUAAACCAUGAAAGUUAAUUAUGGCCUCAAAGGAACUACUCCUGUGGUAAAGAUGUGACUGAAUUGUUCUUUUGAAGAACAUAUUGGUGGAAAUGGAAGGAAUGGUGAGAUUGAAUUCACUCGAUACUGUAACCUGGCAAUAAAAUUUACCACAGUUCAUAGGUUUUGGCUUAGAUAUGAAGUUAAGCUUUGUCCUUUUCUUUGUAUAUCAUCUUUGUUUACAUGAAAAGGUGUAUUAUGGAACAUGAUUUGUUUCUGCAGGUUGUGAUGCCAAGAUCGGAGAACUUGAAACUGUCUUUGAUUAGUAUUGGAAACAUCAGGCUUCUUCAAUUUCCAGCCAUGUAUUCUUAUGGUCAAACCUUAAAAAGCUUAAGCUUGGUAAAAUGUAGUGGUUUUAAAUCUUUGUUCUCAUCUCCUAUGGUUAAGAAAAUAGUGAUACUUGCCUCAUUGAUUACUUGGUGACUUUGAAAUCAUGUAAGCCAAGCUCUGUGGUUGCAAAGGAACUGCUCUUGUGGUUGAGAUGAGAAAGAAUUCUCUCUUUAUGGAGAAUGAUUACAACGAUUACAUAAAAUUUACUCAGGCAAUAAGUGGAUUGAUUAUGUUUGUUUUCUAAUUGGCUUAUUUGUUGUUGUAAAUUUAAGUUUGAUUAGUAGUCUCAUUGUAACGUACUUAUGUUGGGUUUUACACAGGUACGUGCAUCUGCAGCUCUAGCAGCAGCCCUCAAUGUAGACAAGCUUGCAGAAAAUCAUUUAACUACUGGGACUCUUCCUGAUCCUCCCAUGUUUGAAUGAAAAGAAGAAGAUGCAAAGGGCACGCUGUAAUUGAAAGUAGAAGUAGAAGAAGCUUUCCAUUUGGGCAAAAAGAAAUGAAUUUGAGUGACAAGGAGAUUUGUGACAACUGUUGUUACUGGCACUUAAUGCGAAGCGAAGCAAAGCAAAGCAGAGCAAAGGCCAUUUACUGUUAUUCUUCUCCCAACAAGAUCAAUCUUGGCAUGGCGCUGCUUCUUGUAGUCUUUACUUGCUUCUAAUUUUUUUAUUUUGGAUGAAGAAGGGAGGCUUUGUUGUAGUUCAAAGAGUUAAAUAAGGGAGGCUUAUUGUGGUUUAAUAAGUUAGACAAGCACAGGUCAGAAUUGAUGAUGAAGGGAGACGUAUUGUGCAUUAAAUUCGGUUCUUAUCCCCGAUUCUGGUUCUUAAAGUGUUUGGAAUCGGAACUAGAAUCUACCAGUUCCAAAAAAUUGGAAUUGGAACUUAACCUCAGUAGGCCGGUUCUGAUUCCUAUCUGAACUGAAAUCUGGAUACCCUAGGAUUCUGGUUUCAGUUCGGGUAUUUUGCUCACCUUAAUUGCGUAAGUGAUAUUUAGUGUUGCAGUUA
Molecule: RNA transcript, 4558 nt
Organism: Mangifera indica (mango)
Lineage: Eukaryota; Viridiplantae; Streptophyta; Magnoliopsida; Sapindales; Anacardiaceae
Gene name: nuclear intron maturase 4, mitochondrial
Exons: 4
Source: RefSeq, a predicted model, not a curated record